This 460-nucleotide ribosomal RNA is filed under the name uncultured bacterium. Its description in RNAcentral is "partial 16S ribosomal RNA". It matches the Rfam family "Bacterial small subunit ribosomal RNA", at positions 338 to 795 of the family's 1533-position model. The record is from RNAcentral.
CCUACGGGAGGCAGCAGUGAGGAAUAUUGGUCAAUGGACGAGAGUCUGAACCAGCCAAGUAGCGUGAAGGAUGACUGCCCUAUGGGUUGUAAACUUCUUUUAUAUGGGAAUAAAAUGUUCCACGUGUGGGAUUUUGUAUGUACCAUAUGAAUAAGGAUCGGCUAACUCCGUGCCAGCAGCCGCGGUAAUACGGAGGAUCCGAGCGUUAUCCGGAUUUAUUGGGUUUAAAGGGAGCGUAGGUGGAUUGUUAAGUCAGUUGUGAAAGUUUGCGGCUCAAACGUAAAAUUGCAGUUGAAACUGGCAGUCUUGAGUACAGUAUAGGUGGGCGGAAUUCGUGGUGUAGCGGUGAAAUGCUUAGAUAUCACGAAGAACUCCGAUUGCGAAGGCAGUUCACUGGACUGCAACUGACACUGAGGCUCGAAAGUGUGGGUAUCAAACAGGAUUAGAUACCCUAGUAGUC